This 765-nucleotide ribosomal RNA is filed under the name Bacillus sp. AUBB52. RNAcentral's name for it is "bacterial SSU rRNA". It matches the Rfam family "Bacterial small subunit ribosomal RNA", at positions 56 to 803 of the family's 1533-position model. Lineage: Bacteria; Bacillati; Bacillota; Bacilli; Caryophanales; Bacillaceae. The record is from RNAcentral.
UGCAAGUCGAGCGGACAGAUGGGAGCUUGCUCCCUGAUGUUAGCGGCGGACGGGUGAGUAACACGUGGGUAACCUGCCUGUAAGACUGGGAUAACUCCGGGAAACCGGGGCUAAUACCGGAUGGUUGUUUGAACCGCAUGGUUCAAACAUAAAAGGUGGCUUCGGCUACCACUUACAGAUGGACCCGCGGCGCAUUAGCUAGUUGGUGAGGUAAUGGCUCACCAAGGCAACGAUGCGUAGCCGACCUGAGAGGGUGAUCGGCCACACUGGGACUGAGACACGGCCCAGACUCCUACGGGAGGCAGCAGUAGGGAAUCUUCCGCAAUGGACGAAAGUCUGACGGAGCAACGCCGCGUGAGUGAUGAAGGUUUUCGGAUCGUAAAGCUCUGUUGUUAGGGAAGAACAAGUACCGUUCGAAUAGGGCGGUACCUUGACGGUACCUAACCAGAAAGCCACGGCUAACUACGUGCCAGCAGCCGCGGUAAUACGUAGGUGGCAAGCGUUGUCCGGAAUUAUUGGGCGUAAAGGGCUCGCAGGCGGUUUCUUAAGUCUGAUGUGAAAGCCCCCGGCUCAACCGGGGAGGGUCAUUGGAAACUGGGGAACUUGAGUGCAGAAGAGGAGAGUGGAAUUCCACGUGUAGCGGUGAAAUGCGUAGAGAUGUGGAGGAACACCAGUGGCGAAGGCGACUCUCUGGUCUGUAACUGACGCUGAGGAGCGAAAGCGUGGGGAGCGAACAGGAUUAGAUACCCUGGUAGUCCACGCCGU